GAUGAAGAACGUAGCGAAAUGCGAUAAGUAAUGUGAAUUGCAGAAUUCAGUGAAUCAUCGAAUCUUUGAACGCACAUUGCGCCCUCUGGUAUUCCGGGGGGCAUGCCUGUUCGAGCGUCAUUAUAACCACUCAAGCUCUCGCUUGGUAUUGGGGUUCGCGGUUCCGCGGCCCCUAAAAUCAGUGGCGGUGCCUGUCGGCUCUACGCGUAGUAAUACUCCUCGCGUCUGGGUCCGGUAGGUCUACUUGCCAGCAACCCCCAAUUUUUACAGGUUGACCUCGGAUCAGGUAGGGAUACCCGCUGAACUUAAGCAUAUCAAUAAGCGGAGGA
RNAcentral lists this unclassified non-coding RNA (329 nucleotides) under soil metagenome. Its description in RNAcentral is "partial contains 5.8S ribosomal RNA, internal transcribed spacer 2, and large subunit ribosomal RNA". The stretch from base 1 to 120 matches the Rfam family "5.8S ribosomal RNA", at positions 35 to 154 of the family's 154-position model. The record is from RNAcentral.